AAGCGAAAGCGGACCGACCCGUUCGGGGACGGCGUUCACAGGUGCUGCAUGGCUGUCGUCAGCUCGUGCCGUGAGGUGUCGGGUUAAGUCCCGUAACGAGCGCAACCCCUGUCCUUAGUUACAAGUGUCUAAGGGACUGCCGGCGGUAAGCCGGAGGAAGGUGGGGAUGACGUCAAGUCAGCAUGGCCCAUAUGUCCAGGGCUACACACACGCUACAAUGGCCAGUACAAUGGGCAGCGAGACCGCGAGGUGGAGCGAAUCCCAACAAAGACUGGUCAUAGUUCGAAUUGCAGGCUGCAACUCGCCUGCAUGAAGCUGGAGUUGCUAGUAACCGCGCGUCAGCUAUAGUGCGGUGAAUACGUUCCCGGGGCUU
RNAcentral lists this ribosomal RNA (373 nucleotides) under uncultured Anaerolineaceae bacterium. Its description in RNAcentral is "bacterial SSU rRNA". It matches the Rfam family "Bacterial small subunit ribosomal RNA", at positions 999 to 1382 of the family's 1533-position model. Lineage: Bacteria; Bacillati; Chloroflexota; Anaerolineae; Anaerolineales; Anaerolineaceae. The record is from RNAcentral.